RNAcentral lists this ribosomal RNA (253 nucleotides) under uncultured bacterium. RNAcentral's name for it is "partial 16S ribosomal RNA". It matches the Rfam family "Bacterial small subunit ribosomal RNA", at positions 524 to 776 of the family's 1533-position model. The record is from RNAcentral.
UACGAAGGGGGCUAGCGUUGCUCGGAAUCACUGGGCGUAAAGCGCACGUAGGCGGAUCUUUAAGUCAGGGGUGAAAUCCCGAGGCUCAACCUCGGAACUGCCUUUGAUACUGGGGAUCUCGAGUCCGGGAGAGGUGAGUGGAACUGCGAGUGUAGAGGUGAAAUUCGUAGAUAUUCGCAAGAACACCAGUGGCGAAGGCGGCUCACUGGCCCGGAACUGACGCUGAGGUGCGAAAGCAUGGGGAGCAAACAGG